UCAAAGGCUCUUUUCAGAGCCAUCCACUUAAGAGUUACGGUAGGCG
Aedes albopictus (Asian tiger mosquito) is the source of this 46-nucleotide non-coding RNA. Lineage: Eukaryota; Metazoa; Arthropoda; Insecta; Diptera; Culicidae. The record is from Rfam.